UACACUAUCUAUCUAUCUAUCUAUCUAUCUCGUCUGUCUCUGUUUUGAUCUGUGUAUUCGUCUAUCUGUUGAGUGUCUAUAUACAUUCACAUGAUGGACUUCGAAUUUGAAGAAGAGCUGAGAAAUACUGAUGAGCUCCUUGAAAACUUACAAGCUCGAGAGGGAAGACUGGGCAAAAGCAAUGUGCACCCUCUACCCUCACCCCCUACUGUUCAGUGGAGAAAGAGGGACAGCCAAGGGGAAAUACUUUACAAAUAUCCAAGAGCCAAAAGGGCAGCAACUGUAGAAAGCAAGUAUAAUGUACUUACUAAUGUACUUACUGUAAACGCAAAUCUCUCUCUCUCUCUCUCUCUCUCUCUCUCUAUAUAUAUAUAUAGUAUAUAUAUAUAUAUGAAGCAUUCAUACUUUUUUUUUUCUUCUUAAUUGUUUGCUAUGCAGUAUUUAAAAUGAUGUCAAAUUGUGCUUCUGUUUUGUAAAUAGGACUAAAAAGAGACCACACCAAUAUUUCAGGUAAUGCUUACAUAAAAAUUAUGUUGUGUAUAUGUGUAUUUCUUUUGUGUUUAUUUCCUUCUUACAUUUGUUCUGGCAGGUCCAUUUGUUAUGGAAGAUGACUUGAAUGGUGGCCCUGCAAAUGCCUCUGAAACAGCUGGUAUACACUGAAAAAAAUAUUGCUUUAUGAUUUAUAUUUAAUGGACUUUUUUAUAUAAAUCUGAAUAUUUUCAUCAUUAGACUUUUAAGUGCAUGCACAGGUAUAUACUGCUCACAUGUAAAUCUUGACUUUUGAAAAAAUAUGUUUAUGUUUAUGAAUUUAACUUAGAUACUAUUCUUGAAGAGCUAAAGAGGCUGUUGGACACUAAGGAAGAUGCAAAUGUUGUCCCAAUUCAAGAUCAUCAACCUCGGUCUAUAUCUAAUGACUGGGCCAUUAGAACUGAAAUGAGGGAGGAGAGAUGGAAAGAAGCUAGAUCUUCUCUUGUGGAGAACAUUUUGAAAGGAGAAGAUGCAAGCUCCUCAUCCUGCCAACAGUGCAGAUCAAAUGCAGCUGUUGUGCGCUGUAGGGACUCCCUUACCCUUUCCUCUGUGCAGAAUGUGAUGAGAAACGUCAUGGUAGCUUCUUUGUUCUCCACAAUAGAGAUUCACUUGUCUCAGGUUUUGUACAACCUUUACCUCCAUCAACAGGAUUCUUCCAGGCAGCUGGUCAAAUUUCUGUUAAACAUCUUGAAGGCUCUGCAAAUGCAGCAACACAGCUUGGAAGAACUGAAGACAGAGCUUUCACUGCAUGAAGAUUGUGUUCAUCAGUGGGUUUCAGAUGUUCAACAAUGGGCAGAAGGUAUUAUUUUGAUUUGCUUUGUAAUUAUUCUUAUCAUUGGCAGGUAAUAUAUAUAGAUGCUUUUGCAUUUUCUUGUGUAGAAAGUGACCGACAUGGGAGUGGUGAUAUGAGAUGACUUCAAGAGGAAAUAGAAGGUCUAACAGUCAGCAUCAAAAGGCGUACACAGCGUCUGUACAGUCAAACAGGUGAAACACAAACAUUGGGAAUUUACCAUGUUGUUUUUUACUAUAUAUCAUUAGAUGUUAAUUGAAUAUGCAUUUUUUAGUAGCUAAAAGAGUGCUGUAAUGGCUAAAAAUAAUUAGAAAAAACAUUAAUUCUAUUCAGAUAGCAACAAGCGGCGCCAUUCUUUGCGCCUCAGAAGGACUGAAGAGAAAAAGAAGCUAGUUGCUGCAGUGGAAGAGUACAACAGCAUAGCAGAUCCAUCCCAGAAGCUUGGCUCAGUUGAAGACUUCUUCACAGCUGAAACUGUUGCUUGGCCUUGGCAAAUCCCUAGCAGUACUGGUAUGUUCUAUAUAACAGGGCAAUUCAAUUAUGUUCCCAGAGGACCACCACCAGCAUAAUUCAGUUCCAACCCUAAUCAAACACAACUGCCUGUAAUAAUCAAGCAAUCCUGAAGGCCUUGACCAGGAACAGAAUUGAAAAGUCAUAUUCUGUAAGACAAGUAUAUACCAAUGUUUUUUUUAAUGAGCAGGCACCUCAUAUAAUGACUCUUUUGUUUUGACAAACAGAAUCGGCUCCCUUUCUCACCAAGAGGAAGGUGUUUGACAAGGUGAUGGCAGUGAGACGCCUUCAGGAAGAGAGAGGUCUAAUUUGUAAGGAGAUGAAACAGCACUGGAAGGUCAUGACACAGAAGAUUUCCAAAUUCGAAGCACUGAUUAAUGACAUAAGUUCAAAAUGUAAGAAAGUCUUCAAACAUUCUUUUUUUUAACAAUUGAUAUAUAGUAUUUUAUUUUUUGAUAAUGUUUCCUUUUGUUUUUCAGCUCUUUUUCCAACCCUGACUGACACUGCAUGCAAAGGUCUCCUCUGCAUUGUUCGAAAGAAACAUUAUGAACUUAAACAUUUAAUGCAGUUGGUAAAGGCAGGCUAUGUGAAAAUCUUCAGCCAACAAGAUUUUAUGUCUGAAGAAGAAAAGCUUGAACCGGAAGAUGACGUGCAAGAGGAAGAGCUUACAGAAAGCGACUACAGCUCCGAUGAUGAAAAUGAUUUUCCUUAAUUGAACAAAUGUAACGUUUAUUUACAUAACCCCCCCCCCCCCCCCCCAAAAAAAAAGAUAAUUGAAAUGUGAAUCAGACUUUUGCCUUUAAAUGUCACAUAGAGCAAUUCGAUCAGAAGGCCUGUUUGUCUGUCGAUGUUGAUUGUGUCAACUGUUCUGUAACUACUUGAUGUGUCUUUGAACAAUAACCUAAUAAAUUACACGUGGCUAAUUACACAUCUAACAAAACUACUCUCAUGAUUUAAAUCAAUGGAGCUGUCUACACUUAAAAGAUCCAGUUAUGCAGUUUACAUUCAGUGUGUC
This is a long non-coding RNA of Carassius auratus (goldfish), 2843 nucleotides long. NCBI's taxonomy places the organism in Eukaryota, Metazoa, Chordata, Actinopteri, Cypriniformes, Cyprinidae. The record is from Ensembl.